Non-coding RNA from Rattus norvegicus (Norway rat), 5605 nucleotides. Lineage: Eukaryota; Metazoa; Chordata; Mammalia; Rodentia; Muridae. The record is from RefSeq and is a predicted model, not a curated record.
AGAGACUAUCAUUAGCUUUCUGUGGCUUGAUUUCUUUUCCUUUAAGAGUCAUACAGGUGAGACUGAGAGAUGGAUCAGCAGUUAAGAGCAAUAACCACUCUCGCUGAGGACCAAUUUCAGUUCCCAGUACCCACAGCUCCUGUAAGUCCAGCAUCAGGGAAUUGGUCUCCUAGGGCAUCCUAUCAUAUGCCCUAUUCUGGCCUCCACGGGCACAGCACCCAAACGCACAUAUACACACAUGCAGUUAAAUAAAUAAUAAAAUGUCAUAUUUUAUUCAUAAUUUAAUAAGUAAUAGAAUACAUAAUACGUUAUCAGAUAAAUAAUAAUAAUCUUAGCAAGCAAAUGAAUCACAGAGGGUCUUGGACGUAUCUCGGUGGGUAGAGCGCUUGCUUAGCAUAUACAAAACCCUGGGUUAGAGACAUAGCACCACAGAAACUGGAUAUGGGGUGGGGUACAUGCUUUGAAUACCAGCACUCUGGUCCUGGAGGAGGAUGGGCAGUUCGUGGGCAUCCUCAGCUACCUAGUAAGUUUGAGGCCAGCCUGCAUACACGAGGCCCUGGUUUUAAAAUAAGAUAAAACAGGCACACAAAUAACCGUCUUCGGCUACCUCUCUGUAGGAUUAUGGGAAGUGACUGAGGUGGCACUUGAAAGUGUUUUUACGAACUGAAAUGCCAGGCAAAUGUCACAGAGGGGUUAUUAGAUACAACAGUGAGUUCUAAUUCACUGGCAUCCAGAAUUGCAGUCACUCAGUGAGUGCUUGGCUCUGUCUGAUUGACAAGGCAACAUUUACUGCCCCUCAAGACUGCAAACUAACACGUGGCACAGUGGAGACCCUCCCCAUUGGUGCCUCCACCCCAACCGGCUUUUCCUAAUGGUCUUCUACCCUCAGAUAAUCGCAUGUGUGUUUCAGUUGCACACACGUGAACACAGACACAGGCACGCACACAGGCACAUAUAGACAGGUGCACACACAGAUACACAUACAGACACACAGACAAGCAUACAGAGACACACAGAGACAGGCACACACAGACUACAGACACGGAGACAGGCACACACACAGACACACACAUAGGCACACAUAGACAGAUGCUCACACACACAAAGAUACAUACACAGACACAUGGAGAUAGGUAUACAGAGACACACAGAGACAGGCGCACGCGCGCGCACACACACACACACACACACACACACACACACACACACACACCAUCUGAUUACAGUCUGCUUACCCUUUGGAAACUCAGUUCUCUUUUAAACUUUUUCUUUGAAACAGGGUCACCUAUAUGGUCUAGACUGGUUUUGGACUUGUUACCCUCCUUUCUCAGCCUGUUGAGUGCCAAGAGUGUAGAGUAUGUUACAAUGCCUGCAUCUUGCUCUUUAAAGAAAAGAUUUUGGUGAGAAGUUCAGUUGUAAAGAACAUAUGUGGCAUCCGAUAGAUACAGAAUACUAAUAAAACACCACAUACUAAACUUCAAAAACAAUUUUGAGGUUGGGUUUCUCUGGAUACCUCUGUCUGUCCUAGAACUCACUCUGCAGACUAGGCUGGCCUAGAAUUCACAGAGAUCUGCUUGCCUUUGCUUCCUGAGCAUUGAGAUUUCAAAGCAUGUGCCACCACUCCCUGGCAGAAAAAAUUGUUUUGGGAUGGGAUGGUGUCUCAGGUAUCCCAGGCAGGCCAUAAACUCCCUUCGACGCUGAAGAUGACCUUUGAACUCAGGAUCCUCCUUCUUCAAUCUUCUAAGUGCAGAGAUUAAAGGCAUGUGUGGCCUCACCCAGAUUACAUAGUACUGGAGAUUGAAGCCAGGGCUUUGUGCCUUCAGACAAAUACUCUAUCAACUACACCCCAACCUUAAAAACAAUUUCUGAGUGUGUGUGGUCUGUGCAUACAUGUGUGCAAAUAUGUGCACUCAGAGGCCAGAGAAGGAUGGGUGUCUUGUGCUCUCAUUCUCUGUCUUGUUUCUCUGCAGUUGGGUGUUUUACUGAACCUGAAUUAGGCUGGCACGGCAAGCCCCACCAACCCUCCUGUCUCCUCUCUCCCACCGUGCUGGGGGUGGGGGGCAGACACAUGAUUUUAUUCUUCACUUUUUAUGUGGAUCCUUCCCCUAAAAUACUCCUAGUGCCUAUAAAGUGCCUGUUUGUUUCUCCUUAGUGAUUUCAUGUAAUUUCCUAUUUUUCGUUCUUCUUUAAAUGUGUGCGUGUGUGCGUGUGUGUGUGUGUGUGUGUGUGUGUGUGUGUGUGUGUUGGAUGCCCGAACUGUACAGAUCCGUGUGCCUGUACACUUGCAGAGGUGAGAGUCCCUCACUGAACCUGAAGCUGAGGCUUGCCCCUUUUUUUGGCGGAGUUGUCCAGCUACUAGCGUUCUGCAGCAGUCCGGCCUGCCCAGUACUGGGAUUACAGGCACACAAGCCUUCUAACCUUGGUGUGGUGGAUUCAAGCUCAGGCCCUCAGGUCCUCACGUUUUCAGAGUGAGCAGUCUUAGCCACCGAGCCAUGUCCCCCUGCUCUUUAAAAGUGGCUUCACCACAGCAAUACUGCCAGGCCCUGUGUUGUUCACUCCCUGAGCUCUCAUCAGGAGGAUGGAGUUGUAGCUGAGGCAGGAGGAUCUCAGAGUUCCAGGCCAACCUGGUCUACAGAGUGAGUUCCAGAACAAGCACAACCACAACCAAGGCUACACAGAGAAGCCCUGUCUUAAGCAAACAAACAGAAAACAAAAACCAAAAAGGAUUGGGUUUAAGCAUCGUCCCACAGCUUGCUUGCAUCUCCCAGUCUUCUGUUGCUGGGUUCGCCCAUCACGUAAAAGAGCAUUUGAGUGUGGGGCUGUGCUGUGACGUCUUCCUCCCACAGAGAAGGGAGGUUUUGGUAACUUCCAGUUUGGGGCUGUUAUAAAUAAUGGUUGUUCAUGUCUUUGGCUGCAUGGAAGAGUAUUUAUCUAGAUGUGAAACUGCUCCUACGACCUGCAUGUUUUUAAUUUUAUCAGAUAAGGCCAAGCUGUUGCCAGAGGCUGUACCAGCUACACUCUCCCCAGCAGCGCACAUGAACGUCCCUUGUUCUGCAUCGCUGCUCUUGCUUGGCGUUGCCUGUUUCCAUCUACUGCCAACUGGGUGGUUACCGGUCUGCAUCUCAAUUUGGCUUCCACUUGCAUUUUUCUUGUUACUAAGGGGGUUGAGCAUCUUCUUGGGUUUGUGUUUCUUUUAUAUUUUUGCAUGGUUGAAAUCCCUGUUUUGAUCUUUCCCUAAUUUUAAAGUGAUUUAGUUUUACUUUUAUGUGUAUGAGCCUUGCAUGCAUAUAUGUAUGUGCAACAUGCAUGUGCCUGGUGCUGGAGGAGGUCAAACGAGGGGGUCAGAUUCCCUGGAACUGAAGUUAUAGAGGUCUCUGAGUUGCCAUGUGGGUGUGGGCGCUGAAACUGACUUCUCUGCCGGAGCAGUAAGCAGCCCUGACUGCUGAACUCCCUCCAGUCCCCACACUUCUUUUUUUUUUUUUUUUUGGUUCUUUUUUUUCCAGAGCUGGGGACCGAACCCAGGGCCUUGCGCUUCCUAGGCAAGCGCUCUACCACGGAGCUAAAUCCCCAACCCCAUCCCCGCACUUCUAUUACCACAGUCUUCCUUUUUCAGCCUCCUCAGUGCUGCGACUACAGGUGUGCUUCGAGUGUGCACAAACCUGUAUUGUGGAGUGAGUGUGGAGGCCAGAGUAUAACCUCCGUCAACGCCCUCCUUCCACUUCAACACAAGGUCUCAUCGGCAAUGUGUGGGCCAGCCUAGCUGCUCAAGACUCUGUGGAUUCUCUUGUCUCUGCCCUACUGUCUCACAGAAGUCUGGGAAUUGCAGACAUGGGUACUGCAGUGUCCAGCUUUACAGAACUCAGAGCAAGCCACCAGUUGACAGGAAGUGAACAUAGGAUUAUUAAGAAAAAAACACAGAGAGUAAAAGAGGGCGUUAGGAGGACGAAUGACAUACAGGAAGAAGGGAGGGACACUGAGUUUGAAGGAAGUUUUGUGAGCCGGUGUGGGAGAGGAUUCCCAGUGAGAUGCUGGCUGAGGAGGAACAUCAGCUGUGUGUUUUCUCUGCCUCUCUGAGCUAGCAGGACUUCACCUCAGCCUCUGGCUUCCGAGUCUUCAUUGGUAAAAUCAAAGGACUGAGACUGGGUUAAGAAGAAACACGUCCCUUUCUCCAUUGUAAAUGCCGUGUGUCCAUUCUCGCGUGGAUUCGUGGCUGCUCGGAGAUUCUAGACACCAAUGGUAGCAGCUGUGUUGGCCGCCGCCUAGCCUCUGGCUUGCCUUCUUGUCUGCUGUAGAAUGGUUUUGUAGGUUACAAGUUCUUGUUCUCAGCGCUGCUCACCUCAGUCCCUUUCCUCUCACUUUUAGCGUCUUAGGAGUUUUUCUUUUAAACUUUUGAAGUUCCAAAGGAAACUUCUAGAUGCUCUUCCCAAAACGUCACAAUACCAAAUGUCUUUCUUAGGAUUUCCCUGUCCGGUAGUUUCCUGUGCUUUCCUACAUACCUUUCCUGGGUUUUAGAAGUCCUACAUUAUUUCCAUUCCAGCGGGCCUUCUCCCAGCGCAGAAAGGUCUCAGGAGCGCAAUGAAUUUUGGGCCAUGUAUCCUGGGUCCUGCACAGCCAGCUGGCCCCUAGGGGGCGCCUUUGUACCACACGUGAGCUCUCUGCACCCAGGUUCCUCUAUGCCCAGCUCUGGUGGGGGGCACCCUUGCCUCGUUGCAAGCUGCAGAGGCAGGUCCAGGCUAAUGUGAGGGCUCCUCUCGUCUGCCCCUGACGAGGAUGGAGCUUCCAGCCCUUUCAAAUCGCCCUUUCCCAUCUGUCUCUUUCUUGGAACCCUCCCAAUUCCUUCUUGAUUUUUGGAGGCUCGGGUCAACUCUCUGUGGCAUGCAGCUGAUGGGACUCCAGGCUCCACAAAUGAUCAAAGCCACAGGACCCACAGAGGGUGUACAGGCACACGAGGAAGGUCCUGCCUGAGUUGACUUUCAUGUUUGAUCUUGUUUUGCCUUUCCAGCUCUGUUAACUGACAGCCGGCUUGAUGCCUCCCCGCUUCUCGCUUCCAUUUUCUUGUGAGACUAACAUCACUACCUUGCAGUUUUUAAGGGUAAGUGUGGCUCUUACCCAUCCUCAAAGAAACUCCUUGUGAUAGAGACAGAGAUAUUUACAGGAAAGUACAUCUGGUCAAAAAGCAGAGAAGAAAUGAUUGUAAUGAUUGUAGGGUGCCCGGCCCCAUGUGAUACACCUACAACACGACCCCUGCACCAAAGGCUCGGGAACAUCCUGGAAAAGGGCAGUGGAAAGACUUUAAGAGCUGGAAGAAAUCUGCUAUGAUCUUGUGUCUCUUAGAAAGGACAGGGAAACUACACCCAUGCUGCCUCAUCAAGAUGGCUGCCAGAAGAAGACCUGAACAAGAACAACACCAACAGCCAUGCUAAUGCAGAAGGCAAAUAUGUCAUGCCUUCUCACCCCAACACAAAGAACUACAGGCAAUAGUGCAUGCUGAGAAUGGGAGCACCAGUCUCUCCUAGGAUGCGCCCCCUAAUUGAUUAUCCAAUACCAAGUCAUCAGCCCUGAAAUCGUAUCCGUAUAAUUAUCAUUAAAUGAAAUGAACAAGUUG